GCUAUUUGGUGGANCGUAAUCGUCAAAAAGACGUGCAUAAGUAUAGCAAUAUACUGUGUAUCAACUAUGUUGAAUAAAGUUCUGAAUAGAUAAUUGAUAAUGACAAAUAUUUAUUCAUAUGUCUUGACCAAUGCUUGUGCCAGCAGUCGCGGCAACACAAGUAAGACUAGUGUUAUUCAUCUUUAUUAGGUUUAAAGGGUACCUAGACGGCAUUUUUCACUUCUAAAGGGAAAAAAUUUGCUAGAGUUUUAUGUGAGAGGUAAAUAUCAGGGCUAUUGGUGUAAGGAUGAAAUCUUUUGAUACUGAUAGAACGUAUAACGGCGAAGACAACCCUCUAUGUACAAACUGACGUUGAGGGACGAAGGCUUGGGGAGCGAAUAGGAUUAGAUACCCUAGUAGUCCAGGCAGAAAAUUAUGAAUGUUAUAUAUUAAGUGAAAAAUUGGUGUAUAAAUGAAAGUGUAAGCAUUCCACCUCAAGAGUAAUGUGGCAACACGGGAACUGAAAUCAUUAGACCGUUUCUGAAACCAGUAGUGAAGUAUGUUAUUUAAUUCGAUAACCCUCGAAAAACCUUACCACAAUUUGAAUGAUAUUUGAUGUGCAAAGCACAUCAAAUAUUACAAGCGUUGCACGGCUGUCUAAAGCUAAUGUCGUGAGACUUUGGUUAGCUCCAUUAAAUUAGCGUGAUCCCUUACUUUAUUUACUAAUAAUAAGGUAGUCAACCAUUGUAUUGGAUUUGAUAAUAGGAAGAAGACAAGUCAUC
Molecule: ribosomal RNA, 761 nt
Filed under: Vermiconidia flagrans
Lineage: Eukaryota; Fungi; Ascomycota; Dothideomycetes; Mycosphaerellales; Extremaceae
Description: SSU rRNA
Rfam family: Bacterial small subunit ribosomal RNA
Source: RNAcentral